ACGCUCGACACCUACUGGAGGCAGCAGUGGGGAAUACUGCACAAUGGGGGAAACCCUGAUGCAGCGACGCCGCGUGGAGGAAGAAGGUCUUCGGAUUGUAAACUCCUGUUGUUGGGGAAAAAGAGGAUGGUACCCAACAAGGAAGUGACGGCUAACUACGUGCCAGCAGCCGCGGUAAUCUGAGGCGGGCUGGCAAGGC
This 199-nucleotide ribosomal RNA is filed under the name uncultured bacterium. Its description in RNAcentral is "partial 16S ribosomal RNA". It matches the Rfam family "Bacterial small subunit ribosomal RNA", at positions 328 to 539 of the family's 1533-position model. The record is from RNAcentral.